UGGAGAGUUUGAUCCUGGCUCAGGACGAACGCUGACGGCGUGGAUUAGGCAUGCAAGUCGAACGAGAAAUUUCCUGCUUGCAGGGAAGAGUACAGUGGCGAACGGGUGAGUAACGCGUAGGUAUCUACCUCGUAGACUGGGAUAGCCCCGGGAAACCGGGGGUAAUACCGGAUGUGUUUUUCGAAAUAAAGGUGGCCUCUGUUUACAAGCUACCGCUAUGGGAUGAGCCUGCGUCAUAUUAGCUUGUUGGUAGGGUAAUGGCCUACCAAGGCGAUGAUGUGUAGCCGACCUUAACGGGUGACCGGCCACACUGGGAUUGAGAUACGGCCCAGACUCCUACGGGA
RNAcentral lists this ribosomal RNA (344 nucleotides) under Candidatus Cloacimonadota bacterium. Its description in RNAcentral is "bacterial SSU rRNA". It matches the Rfam family "Bacterial small subunit ribosomal RNA", at positions 1 to 346 of the family's 1533-position model. Lineage: Bacteria; Pseudomonadati; Candidatus Cloacimonadota. The record is from RNAcentral.